This 106-nucleotide small nuclear RNA is filed under the name Mus spicilegus (steppe mouse). The record is from RNAcentral. Lineage: Eukaryota; Metazoa; Chordata; Mammalia; Rodentia; Muridae.
GUGCUCGCUUCAGCAGCACAUAUACUAAAAAAUUGGAUUGAUACAGAGAUUAGCAUGGCCCCUGCGCAAGGAUGACAUGCAAAUUCGUGAACCGUUUAAAAAAAAA